UUCGAUUAAGCCAUGCGAGUCGAGAGUCUUAGGGACUCGGCGCACCGCUCAGUAACACGUGGGUAACCUGCCCUAUGCUGGGGAAUAACCUCGGGAAACUGAGAAUAAUGCCCCAUAGCCCACUACGCCUGGAACGGUGAGUGGGUCAAAGCUCCGGCGGCAUAGGAUGGGCCUGCGCCGUAUCAGGUUGUAGGGGGUGUAAAGUACCCUCUAGCCAUCAACGCGUACGGGUGUUGGGAGACAUUGCCCGGAGAUGGAUUCUGAGACACGAAUCCAGACCCUACGGGGUGCAGCAGGCGCGAAAACUUGGCAAUGCGAGCAAUCGUGACCAGGGAACUCCAAGUGCGUAGGGUAAGACCUACGCUUUUCUUGACUCUUCAAAGGUCUUGGAAUAAGGGGUGGGUAAGGACGGUGCCAGCCGCCGCGGUAAUACCGGCGCCUCAAGUGGUAGUCGCUUUUAUUGGGCCUAAAACGUCCGUAGCCGGUCUGGUGCAUUCGUGGGUAAAUCAACCCGCUCAACGGGUUGAAUUCUGCGAGCACGGCCAGACUUGGGACCGGGAGAGGCGUGGGGUACUCUCAGGGUAGGGGUAAAAUCCUGUCAUCCUGAGAGGACCACCUGUUGCGAAGGCGCCACACUAGAACGGAUCCGACGGUCAGGGACGAAACCUAGGGGCACGAACCGGAUUAGAUACCCGGGUAGUCCUAGGUGUAAACGCUGUGGACUUGAUGUUGGGGGCGCUCCGAGCGCUUUCAGUGUCGAAGCGAAGGUGAUAAGUCCACUGCCUGGGGAGUACGGUCGCAAGGCUGAAACUUAAAGGAAUUGGCGGGGGAGCACUGCAACCUGAGGAUUGUGCG
Molecule: ribosomal RNA, 855 nt
Filed under: uncultured archaeon
Lineage: Archaea
Description: bacterial SSU rRNA
Rfam family: Archaeal small subunit ribosomal RNA
Source: RNAcentral